GCAGCCUGAUGCAGCACGCCGCGUGAGGGACGACGGCCUUCGGGUUGUAAACCUCUUUUAGCAGGGAAGAAGCGAAAGUGACGGUACCUGCAGAAAAAGCACCGGCUAACUACGUGCCAGCAGCCGCGGUAAUACGUAGGGUGCAAGCGUUGUCCGGAAUUAUUGGGCGUAAAGAGCUCGUAGGCGGUUUGUCACGUCUGCUGUGAAAUCCCGAGGCUCAACCUCGGGCUUGCAGUGGGUACGGGCAGACUAGAGUGCGGUAGGGGAGAUUGGAAUUCCUGGUGUAGCGGUGGAAUGCGCAGAUAUCAGGAGGAACACCGAUGGCGAAGGCAGAUCUCUGGGCCGUAACUGACGCUGAGGAGCGAAAGCAUGGGGAGCAAACAGGCUUAGAUACCCUGGUAGUCCAUGCCGUAAACGUUGGGAACUAGAUGUGGGGACCUUUCCACGGUCUCCGUGUCGUAGCUAACGCAUUAAGUUCCCCGCCUGGGGAGUACGGCCGCAAGGCUAAAACUCAAAGGAAUUGACGGGGGCCCGCACAAGCGGCGGAGCAUGCGGAUUAAUUCGAUGCAACGCGAAGAACCUUACCAAGGCUUGACAUAUAGGAGAACGCACUGGAGACAGUGAACUCUUUGGACACUCCUAUACAGGUGGUGCAUGGUUGUCGUCAGCUCGUGUCGUGAGAUGUUGGGUUAAGUCCCGCAACGAGCGCAACCCUCGUCCUAUGUUGCCAGCACGUAAUGGUGGGAACUCAUGGGAUACUGCCGGGGUCAACUCGGAGGAAGGUGGGGAUGAGGUCAAAUCAUCAUGCCCCUUAUGUCUUGGGCUUCACGCAUGCUACAAUGGCCGGU
Molecule: ribosomal RNA, 848 nt
Filed under: Agrococcus sp. CJNY55
Lineage: Bacteria; Bacillati; Actinomycetota; Actinomycetes; Micrococcales; Microbacteriaceae
Description: bacterial SSU rRNA
Rfam family: Bacterial small subunit ribosomal RNA
Source: RNAcentral